AGCUAGAGGCGACGAUGGAGUGAGAGGGUCGAUUUUGGGUUUGAGGUUUUACGGCGAUGUGUGGCGGCGAGGUAAGCGAUUUACACGGAGGUGGAGCGGAGGUUGCGGUUGCUUGACGGUAGUGUGGAUAGGCGGAGGGUUUUGAUGGUGAGUGGUGUGGUGGCUGAGGUUUUGAAGAUGUACUCGUAAGGAGGACGACGGUGGUUUUAAUGGAGGUGACGGCGGUGUGGAGUUAAGGGUUUUGAAGGUAGUGGAGACGGAAGGAUUCGCCGGCGAAUUUGUGUGAAGAUGAUGGGAACGGCGGCGAGGGUUUUGAAGAGAGAUUUGGGGUUUUGGUGGUUGUUUAAUGGUGGUGUUGGUGGAUGAGUGAAUCGAUGGAGGUGGUGAUUUGAAGCGAUGAAGCUGGAGGCGACGAUGGAGAAUGUGUGAUUUUGACGGUUGGUUGAAGAGAUGGAGAGGAAAUUUCCGAGAGUGAGAGGAUGGUGAGGUAGCGGCGGAUAGGGUUUUGUGAGAUAUCUGAGAGAGUGAGUGAGGAGAGUGAGAGAUGGAAGGGAGCGUUUUUGUGCUGAGAUUUUUUCUGAGCAAAAUGAGAGUCAGUACUGUAGUGAGUAGUGAGUGGUUUUUUGUAUAUAUUUUCUUUUUGUCGUUUGUGAGGAGAGGAUGGAGAGAGUAAGUGGAGCGUGAGUGGAGCAGGGAAUGGUUACUGAGUGGGGAGAGAGUGGAGUGAAGAGAGUCUUUUGUUUUUGUUUUUUUUUUGUCGUUUGUGGGAAAGCAAAGAGAGAGAAGAUGGACUGAAUAGUGAAUUGAAUAGUGAAUGAGGGAGUUUGUUAGGAUUUGAGAGAGAUAGUGGGGAGUAGCUGGCAGACCGUUGGGAACGUGAGUGGAUUGGGAGUGGAUUC
This 899-nucleotide long non-coding RNA is filed under the name Lathyrus oleraceus (garden pea). RNAcentral describes it as "Pisum sativum (pea) long non-coding RNA (PSAT_LNC032179)". Lineage: Eukaryota; Viridiplantae; Streptophyta; Magnoliopsida; Fabales; Fabaceae. The record is from RNAcentral.